AUUGAACGCUGGCGGAAUGCUUUACACAUGCAAGUCGGGCGGCAGCACGGGGGCAACCCUGGUGGCGAGCGGCGAACGGGUGAGUAACACAUCGGAACAUGCCCAGUCGUGGGGGAUAACACUUCGAAAGAAGUGCUAAUACCGCAUACGUCCUGAGGGAGAAAGCGGGGGAUCGCAAGACCUCGCGCGAUUGGAGUGGCCGAUGUCAGAUUAGCUAGUUGGUGGGGUAAAGGCCUACCAAGGCAACGAUCUGUAGCUGGUCUGAGAGGAUGAUCAGCCACACUGGGACUGAGACACGGCCCAGACUCCUACGGGAGGCAGCAGUGGGGAAUUUUUGACAAUGGGGGCAACCCUGAUCCAGCCAUUCCGCGUGAGUGAAGAAGGCCUUCGGGUUGUAAAGCUCUUUCGGCAGGAACGAAACGGUGAGCUCUAACAUAGCUUGCUAAUGACGGUACCUGAAAAAGAAGCACCGGCUAACUACGUG
RNAcentral lists this ribosomal RNA (484 nucleotides) under uncultured bacterium. RNAcentral describes it as "partial 16S ribosomal RNA". It matches the Rfam family "Bacterial small subunit ribosomal RNA", at positions 30 to 507 of the family's 1533-position model. The record is from RNAcentral.